CAGUCGCCGCGGGAAUACGUAGGGUGCGAGCGUUAAUCGGAAUUACUGGGCGUAAAGCGUGCGCAGGCGGUUGUGUAAGACAGGUGUGAAAUCCCCGGGCUUAACCUGGGAACUGCGCUUGUGACUGCACAGCUAGAGUAUGGCAGAGGGGGGUGGAAUUCCACGUGUAGCAGUGAAAUGCGUAGAGAUGUGGAGGAACACCGAUGGCGAAGGCAGCCCCCUGGGCCAAUACUGACGCUCAUGCACGAAAGCGUGGGGAGCAAACAGGAUUAGAUACCCCCGUAGUCCCUGUCUCUUAUAA
Molecule: ribosomal RNA, 301 nt
Filed under: uncultured bacterium
Lineage: Bacteria
Description: partial 16S ribosomal RNA
Rfam family: Bacterial small subunit ribosomal RNA
Source: RNAcentral